Molecule: ribosomal RNA, 1372 nt
Filed under: uncultured bacterium
Lineage: Bacteria
Description: bacterial SSU rRNA
Rfam family: Bacterial small subunit ribosomal RNA
Source: RNAcentral
UUAGAGUUUGAUCCUGGCUCAGAACGAACGCUGGCGGCGUGGAUAAGACAUGCAAGUCGAACGAGAGAAUUGCUAGCUUGCUAAUAAUUCUCUAGUGGCGCACGGGUGAGUAACACGUGAGUAACCUGCCCCCGAGAGCGGGAUAGCCCUGGGAAACUGGGAUUAAUACCGCAUAGUAUCGAAAGAUUAAAGCAGCAAUGCGCUUGGGGAUGGGCUCGCGGCCUAUUAGUUAGUUGGUGAGGUAACGGCUCACCAAGGCGAUGACGGGUAGCCGGUCUGAGAGGAUGUCCGGCCACACUGGAACUGAGACACGGUCCAGACACCUACGGGUGGCAGCAGUCGAGAAUCAUUCACAAUGGGGGAAACCCUGAUGGUGUGACGCCGCGUGGGGGAAUGAAGGUCUUCGGAUUGUAAACCCCUGUCAUGUGGGAGCAAAUUAAAAAGAUAGUACCACAAGAGGAAGAGACGGCUAACUCUGUGCCAGCAGCCGCGGUAAUACAGAGGUCUCAAGCGUUGUUCGGAAUCACUGGGCGUAAAGCGUGCGUAGGCUGUUUCGUAAGUCGUGUGUGAAAGGCGCGGGCUCAACCCGCGGACGGCACAUGAUACUGCGAGACUAGAGUAAUGGAGGGGGAACCGGAAUUCUCGGUGUAGCAGUGAAAUGCGUAGAUAUCGAGAGGAACACUCGUGGCGAAGGCGGGUUCCUGGACAUUAACUGACGCUGAGGCACGAAGGCCAGGGGAGCGAAAGGGAUUAGAUACCCCUGUAGUCCUGGCAGUAAACGGUGCACGCUUGGUGUGCGGGGAAUCGACCCCCUGCGUGCCGGAGCUAACGCGUUAAGCGUGCCGCCUGGGGAGUACGGUCGCAAGAUUAAAACUCAAAGAAAUUGACGGGGACCCGCACAAGCGGUGGAGUAUGUGGCUUAAUUCGAUGCAACGCGAAGAACCUUACCUGGGCUUGACAUGUAAUGAACAACAUGUGAAAGCAUGCGACUCUUCGGAGGCGUUACACAGGUGCUGCAUGGCCGUCGUCAGCUCGUGUCGUGAGAUGUUUGGUUAAGUCCAGCAACGAGCGCAACCCCUGUUGCCAGUUACCAGCACGUGAAGGUGGGGACUCUGGCGAGACUGCCCAGAUCAACUGGGAGGAAGGUGGGGACGACGUCAGGUCAGUAUGGCCCUUAUGCCCAGGGCUGCACACGUACUACAAUGCCCAGUACAGAGGGGGCCGAAGCCGCGAGGCGGAGGAAAUCCUGAAAACUGGGCCCAGUUCGGACUGUAGGCUGCAACCCGCCUACACGAAGCCGGAAUCGCUAGUAAUGGCGCAUCAGCUACGGCGCCGUGAAUACGUUCCCGGGUCUUGUACUCACCGCCCGUCA